UGGGUCAGUGAUGACCACUGAUGUGAUAGAUGAUCCAUGGGUCAUGACUGCAGUUCUGGGAAUCUGAGGCCCAC
Onychomys torridus (southern grasshopper mouse) is the source of this 74-nucleotide small nucleolar RNA. RefSeq annotates it as small nucleolar RNA SNORD113/SNORD114 family. The transcript has a single exon. The record is from RefSeq and is a predicted model, not a curated record. Lineage: Eukaryota; Metazoa; Chordata; Mammalia; Rodentia; Cricetidae.